This 440-nucleotide ribosomal RNA is filed under the name uncultured bacterium. Its description in RNAcentral is "partial 16S ribosomal RNA". It matches the Rfam family "Bacterial small subunit ribosomal RNA", at positions 338 to 795 of the family's 1533-position model. The record is from RNAcentral.
CCUACGGGCGGCAGCAGUGGGGAAUAUUGCACAAUGGGGGAAACCCUGAUGCAGCGACGCCGCGUGAGCGAUGAAGUAUUUCGGUAUGUAAAGCUCUAUCAGCAGGGAAGAAAAUGACGGUACCUGACUAAGAAGCCCCGGCUAACUACGUGCCAGCCGCCGCAGUAAUACGUAGGGGGCAAGCGUUGUCCGGAUUUACUGGGUGUAAAGGGAGCGUAGACGGCGGUGCAAGGCAGUAGUGAAAGCCCUGGGCGCAACCCCGGUACUGCAUUUGGAACUGGGCUGCUAGAGUGUCGGAGAGGCAGGCGGAAUUCCUGGUGUAGCGGUGAAAUGCGUAGAUAUUAGGAGGAACACCAGUGGCGAAGGCGGCCUGCUGGACGAUGACUGACGUUGAGGCUCGAAAGCGUGGGGAGCAAACAGGAUUAGAUACCCGAGUAGUC